UGUAUAAACUUUAUUUUGCUCCUAAAGAAUAUUUUAUUUCAUUUCAUAUUUAAUUUCUGUGAUUUUAAGUAUGACGUUUAUACAACUGCUCUUCAUGAUCAUUGAGUAAAAAUAAGAUAGUUCAUGCUUAAGGAAGAUGCGAUGUGCUGCCACCUUAGAUUAGGGUAGACAUUUCAUGCUAACUAAAGAUGGAUUAUGCCUAAAUUACUUUUGUAAAAUUUUAUUCGAAUGCUUAUUAGGCUUGUAGCCAAUUUACAUGUUUAUCUAAGAAUAAAUUAAAAUACAAAUAACCCUUGUUCCGAUGUUAGUGGUGAAUUUUUAGUUUAAUUUUCUUCACAAACUCUUCCUUUUAAAUAUUUUUAUUUUUAAGAAAAUAACUGUACCCCAAUCCUUGUGGAUCGAUACCCGUAAUCACUAUCCUACCAGAUACGUGCUAUUGCGUGGUCUUUAA
Molecule: long non-coding RNA, 451 nt
Filed under: Phoenix dactylifera (date palm)
Lineage: Eukaryota; Viridiplantae; Streptophyta; Magnoliopsida; Arecales; Arecaceae
Description: long non-coding RNA (PDAC_LNC013601)
Source: RNAcentral